GACGAACGCUGGCGGCGUGCUUAACACAUGCAAGUCGAACGGUAAGGCCCUUCGGGGUACACGAGUGGCGAACGGGUGAGUAACACGUGGGUGAUCUGCCCUGCACUUCGGGAUAAGCCUGGGAAACUGGGUCUAAUACCGGAUAGGACCACUGCCUGCAUGGGUGGUGGUGGAAAGCUUUUGCGGUGUGGGAUGGGCCCGCGGCCUUUCAGCUUGUUGGUGGGGUGAUGGCCUACCAAGGCGACGACGGGUAGCCGGCCUGAGAGGGUAACCGGCCACGCUGGGACUGAGUUACGGCCCAGACUCCUGCGGGAGGCAGCAGUGGGGAAUGUUGCACAGUGGGAGCAAGCCUGAUGCAGCGACGCCGCGUGAGGGAUGACGGCCUUCGGGUUGUAAACCUCUUUCAGCACCGACGAAGCGCAAGUGACGGUAGGUGCAGAAGAAGGACCGGCCAACUACGUGCCAGCCGCCGCCGUAA
RNAcentral lists this ribosomal RNA (478 nucleotides) under uncultured bacterium. RNAcentral describes it as "partial 16S ribosomal RNA". It matches the Rfam family "Bacterial small subunit ribosomal RNA", at positions 28 to 523 of the family's 1533-position model. The record is from RNAcentral.